Molecule: ribosomal RNA, 448 nt
Filed under: uncultured bacterium
Lineage: Bacteria
Description: bacterial SSU rRNA
Rfam family: Bacterial small subunit ribosomal RNA
Source: RNAcentral
CGGCCAGACUCCUACGGGAGGCAGCAGUGGGGAAUAUUGUACAAUGGGGGAAACCCUGAUGCAGCGACGCCGCGUGAAGGAAGAAGUAUUUCGGUAUGUAAACUUCUACCAGCAGGGAAGAAAAUGACGGUACCUGACUAAGAAGCCCCGGCUAACUACGUGCCAGCAGCCGCGGUAAUACGUAGGGGGCAAGCGUUAUCCGGAUUUACUGGGUGUAAAGGGAGCGUAGGCGGCGAUGCAAGUCAGAAGUGAAAGCCCGGGGCUCAACUCCGGGACUGCUUUUGAAACUGUGUUGCUAGAUUGCAGGAGAGGUAAGUGGAAUUCCUAGUGUAGCGGUGAAGUGCGUAGAUAUUAGGAGGAACACCAGUGGCGAAGGCGACUUUCUGGACUGUACCUGACGCUGAGGCGCGAAAGCGUGGGUAGCGAACGGGAUUAGAUACCCCAGUAA